This 192-nucleotide small nucleolar RNA is filed under the name Neurospora crassa. RNAcentral describes it as "Fungal small nucleolar RNA U3". It matches the Rfam family "Fungal small nucleolar RNA U3", at positions 76 to 273 of the family's 274-position model. Rfam says of the family: Small nucleolar RNAs (snoRNAs) are involved in the processing and modification of rRNA in the nucleolus. There are two main classes of snoRNAs: the box C/D class, and the box H/ACA class. U3 snoRNA is a member of the box C/D class. Lineage: Eukaryota; Fungi; Ascomycota; Sordariomycetes; Sordariales; Sordariaceae. The record is from Rfam by way of RNAcentral.
CCGGGUUGAUGAACUAUAUCCUCGUUUCCCAACAGUGAGGUCCCUUUUAUUUUACUCUCGCUCUGCCUGAAAAGGUGGCGAUCUUGCUUCACUGCAUGAUUGUAUAGAGAGUGGCGAUGAUCUGUACCCCGAUUUCCCAAGGUCUGCCUUCGGGCGCUUGGGCGGGGUGGGUUUCGAUGGAAGUCUGACCGG